AUAUUAAUAAGGGGAGGAAAAGAAAAUAACAAUGAUUCCCUCAGUAACGGCGAGUGAAGCGGGAAGAGCUCAAUUUGAAAAUCGACUUCCCAAACGGGACGUCGAGUUGUAGCCUAUAGACGCACUAUCAGCUGGCAGUUGGGUAUAAGUUCAUUGGAAUGUGGCACGAUACAGGAUGAGAGUUCCGUAUACGGCCCAAAGCUGUCAGCGUACGAUGUGCGUUCAUCGAGUCGAGUUGUUUGGGAUUGCAGCUCUAAAUGGGAGGUAAGUUUCUUCUAAAGCUAAAUACUGGCGAGAGACCGAUAGCGCACAAGUA
RNAcentral lists this ribosomal RNA (316 nucleotides) under uncultured eukaryote. RNAcentral's name for it is "partial large subunit ribosomal RNA". It matches the Rfam family "Eukaryotic large subunit ribosomal RNA", at positions 40 to 350 of the family's 3401-position model. The record is from RNAcentral.